RNAcentral lists this ribosomal RNA (858 nucleotides) under Sporidesmium australiense. RNAcentral's name for it is "eukaryotic LSU rRNA". It matches the Rfam family "Eukaryotic large subunit ribosomal RNA", at positions 55 to 929 of the family's 3401-position model. Lineage: Eukaryota; Fungi; Ascomycota; Sordariomycetes; Sporidesmiaceae. The record is from RNAcentral.
GGAAAAGAAACCAACAGGGAUUGCCCCAGUAACGGCGAGUGAAGCGGCAACAGCUCAAAUUUGAAAUCUGGCUCCUUCGGGGUCCGAGUUGUAAUUUGCAGAGGGUGCUUUGGCGUCGGCCGUGGUCUAAGUUCCUUGGAACAGGACGUCACAGAGGGUGAGAAUCCCGUACGUGGCCGCCGGCCUUCGCCGUGUAAAGCCCCUUCGACGAGUCGAGUUGUUUGGGAAUGCAGCUCUAAAUGGGAGAUAAAUUUCUUCUAAAGCUAAAUAUUGGCCAGAGACCGAUAGCGCACAAGUAGAGUGAUCGAAAGAUGAAAAGCACUUUGGAAAGAGAGUCAAAAAGCACGUGAAAUUGUUGAAAGGGAAGCGCUUGCAGCCAGACGUGCCCGCAGUUGCUCACCCGGGCUCUCGCCCGGGGCACUCUUCUGCGGGCAGGCCAGCAUCAGUUCGGGCGGUUGGAUAAAGGCCUCUGUCACGUACCCCCUCUCGGGGGCGGCCUUAUAGGGGAGGCGCAACACGACCAGCCCGAACUGAGGACCGCGCAUUAUGCUAGGAUGCUGGCGUAAUGGCUGUAAGCGGCCCGUCUUGAAACACGGACCAAGGAGUCUAACAUCUAUGCGAGUGUUUGGGUGUCAAGCCCGGGCGCGCAAUGAAAGUGAACGGAGGUGGGAACCCCUCGGGGCGCACCAUCGACCGAUCCUGAAGUCUUCGGAUGGAUUUGAGUAAGAGCAUAGCUGUUGGGACCCGAAAGAUGGUGAACUAUGCCUGAAUAGGGUGAAGCCAGGGGAAACCCUGGUGGAGGCUCGCAGCGGUUCUGACGUGCAAAUCGAUCGUCAAAUUUGGGCAUAGGGGCGAAAG